UAAGCAAUCAGGAAGGGGUUCCAAGCAGUCGGUUCCAAAUCGGAAGAUUGAUACCAAGUGCUGGUUGAUUGCUCUCUUUCUCCUUGUCCCAAAACAACGACAAGAAGAAGGACAGGGAGAAAGCAUGAUAUGAGAUACUCUUGCUUUCAACCUUCAUGAUAUGAAAUACUUUUUCUUUGGAUGAGUUCUUUGCAGAGGUACCCCAAGGAAUAAGGAACACUGAGUGACUCGAGAGGGUUUGUUCGAAAGGCAUUCUCGGAGAAAAAGAAGGGUUAUGUCUGUCUGCCUUGCAAUGGAGGGUGAAGGGUGACAUUUAUAGAAAUUAAUAGCCGGUAGUAUUCUUUCACUCUUGUCAGGAACCGUUGGAUGAUUUAAUAGUAAACUUCACGUGCUUUCUACUUCACAAGAGAUCUUCGACAGAUUGCCCGUAAUUUCCGCAAAGCUGAGUCUGCAUGUGACAGGCCCUGACACAUUUGAAAAAAAACAAGUGCCUCUUCGAUAUCUGGAAUCGACGCUUCGACAAACUGC
This 528-nucleotide long non-coding RNA is filed under the name Malus domestica (apple). Its description in RNAcentral is "long non-coding RNA (MDOM_LNC004273)". Lineage: Eukaryota; Viridiplantae; Streptophyta; Magnoliopsida; Rosales; Rosaceae. The record is from RNAcentral.